GAGUUGUUGACUAACAUGUGAUCCUGCUGUGCAACUUCUGUCAUUGAGGAUCAGAUCUAAAAGGCCAUUUAGAAUUAUUCUUGUCUCUUAAGAAAUUUUAGCACAAAAUCAUCAGCCUCUAACUCUGGACCUCCUGUGUCUCUGCAUAACAAGCAAAAGAGUGGCACCAUCUGGUUUUAUUGUGAGGUAUAACUAUGCCAGGCAUUUUUUACAGUGCUUGUAAUAUUGCAGAGUACCUUUAGAAAUAACGUACGUGUAUGUGUUUUAAUUAAAGCAUGUUGUUGACUCAUUUGAACUUCAAACCCUUGAAAGAGGAGCAGAACAUAGUUUCCCGGGAUUUGCUAAGAAGUGGUUUUCUCUCUCUGCAUAAUGACACAUUGGUAAAGCUACAGAAGGUAUUUGGAGAAGAAAACCAUUAUGAGCCUCUGUUUCUGGAGGUGUUUAAGGAAUUUUCUUGCUUUUCUCGAAGUAUUUGGUGGGAUGGAAGUAGUAGGAGGGACCAUUAUAGUCUCAGUGCACUGGCUGUGUUGCAGCUGUUGGGUGUGACUCCAUAGUUUCCUGAGAAAGUGCAGCCUUCCUGGGUCCCUAGCUUUUUGGUUUGGGUUUUUCUUACUCAUCUGGGCUGCAGAGUUAAUGUAUUCAUGUGUGAUACAUGCUGCCCAAUUUAUCCUAAUCUCAACCGGUGAGAACAUAAAUCACAGUAUUUCUUUUUACUUGCAGUGGUCACCAGUGAGUUAGUGUCAUGAUAUAUGAAAUGAGUUUUACAUUAAUUUGAAAUCUUCUUAGGAAUGUCAGUGGCUCUAGGGCUUAAUAGAAGCUUCAUGAAGGUUUGGGGAACCAGUCCUGGGAACUCAGGAAAAACUAACUUCUCCUAAGCUUGGGGAGCUGCUCCCAAAUCUUGCCAUUAGUUGCUUUCCCGUGUAACAAGGUAACAGUAGGUGUAAGGCACGGUUUCAAUGCGAACUUAUUUUUUAAUAAAACCUCCCCAGGCUUUUUGGUUACAACAUAUAUAAUACUAAUUUAGAUGUGCAUGCAGCAACCCAUAAAAAUUCUAGGACCACUCUGGAGAUGGUGACCUGCGCAGACCAGUUAACAUUAAUGUUCACUUUGUUGAUGUUCAACAUCAAUCAAAAUUUUCUAGAAUGCCUGUGAAAACAUAGCUCCAAAUUAAAAUCCAUUUUGUAGCAGUACCAAGUCAAAAGGAGCCUGCAGAGCUUUGCUUUUUGGCUGCCCAUUAGUUUUCCAGAUCGAUAAGCAUGUAAGAAUUCAAUCAAAUAGUACUUUGGCAGGAUCUGAGAAUGAUUUCUUUUUUAUUAACACUAGGUACUUUUCUCCUAAAAUCCAUUCUAUUAAACAUCAACAUAGAGCACAUUUUCAUAGCUAACUUUUGGGCAAAGUAAGAUAUGUUACCAGAGUACAAGGUUUUUCAGAACUGUCUUGGUAGACUGAAACAGCGUACUUCUGUCUCAAUCAAGUGUUGACCUUAGGGUAAGGAGCUCUUCUUGAAUUUGGCUUAUAUACAUAAUAUAUUCUAACUUUCAGGUGCUUACACUCAAGACAGUUCUGGGAAAUUAUCCCCUGAUUUUAUAAGGUAAAGCAGGGUAAAGUACAGGGCUUGAUGUAUGAGGUACAUGUGUAGAAUAUCACUGUUUAUGCUAUGGAAUAAGUUAGAAGAAGAAAUAAGCAUCACUUGUACAAGGAAGAAUGAGAUUGCCCUUUGUGGAGCCUCAGUCCUGCUGACCUGUGAGACCUCACGGGCUUUGGAGAUGUAUGUAAGUGGGGAAGAGGAUGGAGGGAAGCAUACACCAACUUUCAUACCAUCCCAGCCUCCAUAAUUGGAAAGAUAAAUGCAUUUUUCCUUAGCCAGAAAAGAUGCCCAGUAGCAGAAACCAGAAUUUACCUGCUUCAGCUCAAGGGCUUAACCAAAAUUUUGGACUCUUACACAGGUGUUUUUAGUAAAGAGAGACACAGGUGACAGUAGUGUUCCCUUGACGAUCUCACCUGUUAAUAAGGGAUGUAAAAACUACUGGCCCCUUAAACCCAGCAGAAAUAAAACACAGAUG
Molecule: long non-coding RNA, 2063 nt
Organism: Neopsephotus bourkii (Bourke's parrot)
Lineage: Eukaryota; Metazoa; Chordata; Aves; Psittaciformes; Psittacidae
Exons: 2
Source: RefSeq, a predicted model, not a curated record